Pelodiscus sinensis (Chinese soft-shelled turtle) is the source of this 969-nucleotide non-coding RNA. Lineage: Eukaryota; Metazoa; Chordata; Testudines; Trionychidae. The record is from RefSeq and is a predicted model, not a curated record.
UGCUCAGUUGAGGCAGACCGCUGGGGAGGCAGGAGCUCCGACCCGAGCUGCAGGCCCGCCGCCGGACCUGCCGCCAGAUCCAGAACCGGAGGAGGCGCCGCUGCUGCUACCACCAGCCCCGGGGCGAGCACGCCCCCAACACUGACGCCCGGUGACCGCCCGCCCCGCCGCAGAAGACGCCCCUGUGUGCAGCUGCCCCAGGGACAAGACCGUCGGACGAGGCCGCUGCCGGCAACCCAGCAUCGCCAGGUCUCAGUAAAUUUUUGAACUAGAAGGAAGUAAAACUCAUCUUUCCUGGCUAUUACCCAAGAUUUUUAUGUCUUGCAUGGACAGCUGGCGUUUGAGCAGCGGCUGGAAGCCUGGUGAGAUAAGACCAAUGUCUAAGGAAACAGUCAUCCUUUUCCAAACUAUGAUUUGGUGAUCUAUAGCAGGAACCUUGAGCUCUCUUAGGACCUGAUCCUCAACUUUGGAAGAAAACGAUUGUUGAAUGCUUAUCCUGACUUGGAAACAGGUAAUGCAAUUUUUGACAGAGUGCUGCCAUUCCUCCCAUUUUGCCCACUCAAUCCUGCUUAAACUAAGUUAUAACCAUAGAUUUUUAAACAUUCCAAUAAGUACCAGUCAUCCUCUAUAGGUUUUAGUAUUAGCAACUCAGUCCAAUUUAUUCUCACAGAUGAGCAAUACUCUUAUUACCUAGGCUUCCCACUUUUGUGUAGAGGUAAUUCAAUUUGUGUGUGUGUGUUUUGAUUCCUUGAUCAAUUUUGUUCUCAACCUCUUCAUUUUGUGCUAAAAACAUCUCAUGCCAUCACUUUCCACUUAGGGUGAAUUUAAGGCCUCUUUGUACUCCUGCUCUGGAGAAAAGGAACUUGACUUGGCCUAGGAUGUGGGCUACCUUGCAAGGGAUAUAGCAAUGGCCUCUCUGAAACAAAGCAGCUAAACAGCUAAUAAGCCUAAUGCUAAUAAAAGGAUAUU